RNAcentral lists this ribosomal RNA (293 nucleotides) under uncultured bacterium. RNAcentral describes it as "partial 16S ribosomal RNA". It matches the Rfam family "Bacterial small subunit ribosomal RNA", at positions 505 to 796 of the family's 1533-position model. The record is from RNAcentral.
GUGUCAGCAGCCGCGGUAACACGUAGGGACCAAGCGUUGUCCGGAUUUAUUGGGCGUAAAGCGCUCGUAGGCGGUUCGGUAAGUCGGGUGUGAAACCUCCAGGCUCAACCUGGUGACGCCACCCGAUACUGCCGUGACUUGAGUUCGGUAGGGGAGCGGGGAAUUCCUGGUGUAGCGGUGAAAUGCGCAGAUAUCAGGAGGAACACCGGUGGCGAAGGCGCCGCUCUGGGCCGAAACUGACGCUGAGGAGCGAAAGCGUGGGGAGCGAACAGGAUUAGAAACCCCCGUAGUCC